GCAUCGGUGGUUCAGUGGUAGAAUGCUGGCCUGCCACGCGUGCAGCCGGGGUUCGAUUCCCUGCCGAUGCA
Molecule: transfer RNA, 71 nt
Filed under: Stegodyphus mimosarum
Lineage: Eukaryota; Metazoa; Arthropoda; Arachnida; Araneae; Eresidae
Description: tRNA-Gly for anticodon GCC
Rfam family: tRNA
About the family: Transfer RNA (tRNA) molecules are approximately 80 nucleotides in length.
Source: Rfam by way of RNAcentral